GACGAACGCUGGCGGCGUGCCUAAUACAUGCAAGUCGAGCGCAGGAAGCUGACGGAACUCUUCGGAGGGAAGGCAGCGGAAUGAGCGGCGGACGGGUGAGUAACACGUAAGGAACCUGCCUCAAGGAUUGGGAUAACUCCGAGAAAUCGGAGCUAAUACCGGAUAGUUCAACGGACCGCAUGGUCCGCUGAUGAAAGGCGCUUCGGCGUCACCUUGAGAUGGCCUUGCGGUGCAUUAGCUAGUUGGUGGGGUAACGGCCCACCAAGGCGACGAUGCAUAGCCGACCUGAGAGGGUGAUCGGCCACACUGGGACUGAGACACGGCCCAGACUCCUACGGGAGGCAGCAGUAGGGAAUCUUCCACAAUGGACGAAAGUCUGAUGGAGCAACGCCGCGUGAGUGAUGAAGGUUUUCGGAUCGUAAAACUCUGUUGUAAGGGAAGAACACGUACGAGAGGGAAUGCUCGUACCUUGACGGUACCUUACGAGAAAGCCACGGCUAACUACGUGCCAGCCGCCGCCGUAA
This 524-nucleotide ribosomal RNA is filed under the name uncultured bacterium. Its description in RNAcentral is "partial 16S ribosomal RNA". It matches the Rfam family "Bacterial small subunit ribosomal RNA", at positions 28 to 523 of the family's 1533-position model. The record is from RNAcentral.